Molecule: non-coding RNA, 268 nt
Organism: Pelobates cultripes (western spadefoot toad)
Lineage: Eukaryota; Metazoa; Chordata; Amphibia; Anura; Pelobatidae
Source: the annotation of a GenBank genome assembly
GGAUUGGCUAAAAUCAGCAUGGGGCAGGGCCAAAUACCGUUUUGGCCAGUCAGGACCUCCUCAUAGAGAUGUAUUGAAUCAAUGCAUCUCUAUGAGGAAAGUUCAGCGUCUCCAUGCAGAGCGUGGAUGAAGAGCUCUGACUUAUCAUGUGAUAUUCAAAUAGUACAUGAGCUAAGCCAAUUCUCUAAUUAAUGAAUUGUUGACUAAUGAACUGAUGUCACACCACCUCAGGGCAGCAUUUCCAUGUAUCACAGCAUGAAUAAUUGAC